UAUACGACCGUACCGCAAACCGACACUGGUGCGCGAGAUGAGUAUUCUAAGGCGCUUGAGAGAACUCAGGAGAAGGAACUCGGCAAAUUGACACCGUAACUUCGGAAGAAGGUGUGCCCUAUUAGUGUGUAGUGAACAACGAAGCAUGAAUGGGUUGCAAAAAAUCGGUGGCUGCGACUGUUUAUUAAAAACACAGCACUCUGCAAACACGAAAGUGGACGUAUAGGGUGUGACGCCUGCCCGGUGCUGGAAGAUUAAAUGAUGGGGUGCAAGCUCUUGAUUGAAGUCCCAGUAAACGGCGGCCGUAACAAUAACGGUCCUAAGGUAGCGAAAUUCCUUGUCGGGUAAGUUCCGACCUGCACGAAUGGCGUAACGAUGGCCACACUGUCUCCUCCUGAGACUCAGCGAAGUUGAAAUGUUUGUGAUGAUGCAAUCUCCCCGCGGAAAGACGGAAAGACCCCAUGAACCUUUACUGUAGCUUUGUAUUGGACUUUGAACAGAUCUGUGUAGGAUAGGUGGGAGGCUUUGAAGCAGGGUCGCUAGAUCUUGUGGAGCCAACGUUGAAAUACCACCCUGGUGUGUUUGAGGUUCUAACCUAGGUCCAUUAUCUGGAUCGGGGACAGUGCAUGGUAGGCAGUUUGACUGGGGCGGUCUCCUCCCAAAGCGUAACGGAGGAGUUCGAAGGUACGCUAGUUACGGUCGGACAUCGUGACAAUAGUGCAAUGGCAUAAGCGUGCUUAACUGCGAGACUGACAAGUCGAGCAGAUGCGAAAGCAGGACAUAGUGAUCCGGUGGUUCUGUAUGGAAGGGCCAUCGCUCAACGGAUAAAAGGUACUCUGGGGAUAACAGGCUGAUACCGCCCAAGAGUUCAUAUCGACGGCGGUGUUUGGCACCUCGAUGUCGGCUCAUCUCAUCCUGGGGCUGUAGCCGGUCCCAAGGGUAUGGCUGUUCGCCAUUUAAAGAGGUACGUGAGCUGGGUUUAAAACGUCGUGAGACAGUUUGGUCCCUAUCUUCCGUGGGCGCUGCAGAUUUGAGGAAGCCUGCUCCUAGUACGAGAGGACCGGAGUGGACACACCUCUGGUGUAUCGGUUGUCACGCCAGUGGCAUUGCCGAGUAGCUAAGUGUGGAAGAGAUAACCGCUGAAAGCAUCUAAGCGGGAAACUCGUUUCAAGAUGAGAUCUGCCGGGGCCUUGAGCCCCCUAAAGAGUCGUUCAAGACCAGGACGUUGAUAGGUCAGGUGUGGAAGUGAA
Molecule: ribosomal RNA, 1250 nt
Filed under: metagenome
Description: bacterial LSU rRNA
Rfam family: Bacterial large subunit ribosomal RNA
Source: RNAcentral